UAUCCGUUGGUGAACCAGCGGAGGGAUCAUUACCGAGUUUACAACUCCCAAACCCAAUGUGAACCAUACCAAACUGUUGCCUCGGCGGGGUCACGCCCCGGGUGCGUCGCAGCCCCGGAACCAGGCGCCCGCCGGAGGGACCAACCAAACUCUUUCUGUAGUCCCCUCGCGGACGUUAUUUUUGCAGCUCUGAGCAAAAAUUCAAAAUGAAUCAAAACUUUCAACAACGGAUCUCUUGGUUCUG
RNAcentral lists this unclassified non-coding RNA (244 nucleotides) under plant metagenome. RNAcentral's name for it is "partial contains small subunit ribosomal RNA, internal transcribed spacer 1, and 5.8S ribosomal RNA". The record is from RNAcentral.